UUGAACGCUGGCGGCAGGCCUAACACAUGCAAGUCGAGCGCGAAAAGUUUUCGGACUGAGUAAAGCGGCGGACGGGUGAGUAACGCGUGGGAAUCUGCCCAGUAGUGGGGGACAACAGCCGGAAACGGCUGCUAAUACCGCAUACGCCCUACGGGGGGAAGGGGGGAUCUUCGGACCUCUCGCUAUUGGAUGAGCCCGCGUCGGAUUAGCUAGUUGGUGGGGUAAAGGCCUACCAAGGCUACGAUCCGUAACUGGUCUGAGAGGAUGAUCAGUCACACUGGAACUGAGACACGGUCCAGACUCCUACGGGAGGCAGCAGUGGGGAAUAUUGGACAAUGGGGGCAACCCUGAUCCAGCCAUGCCGCGUGUGUGAAGAAGGCCUUAGGGUUGUAAAGCACUUUCAGUGGGGAGAAAGGUUUGUCACCUAAUACGUGAUGUAAUUGAUGUUACCCACAGAAGAAGCACCGGCUAACUCCGUGCCAGCCGCCGCGGUAA
RNAcentral lists this ribosomal RNA (495 nucleotides) under uncultured bacterium. RNAcentral describes it as "partial 16S ribosomal RNA". It matches the Rfam family "Bacterial small subunit ribosomal RNA", at positions 30 to 523 of the family's 1533-position model. The record is from RNAcentral.